UACUAAAUGAUGCUCUGAUGAGUGUGCUAGGAUUAGGUUUUGAUGAUGAUUACAUAACUUUGUAACAUACAAAAACCAUUGAACUGUACAAUUUCAGCAGAAACAUUUUAUCAAUUCUUUAUUCUUUUUAAAAGAAUUUAUCUCAAUAAUGCUGUUAAAAUUCACAGUGAUUUAAUCCAGUAAAUGUUUAUUUCUCAUUUGUGUUUCAUAUACAAAGAUGGUCAAUAUAAGGUAUCUGCUCAUGGCUGUUCCUCUGAGACCCUGGCUGAUGGAAAAUUUACUCUAUCACAUACUUCUUUGUUCACUAAGGUGAAACAAAGGAAAAGAAUUGGCUACCGGUCCCUAAAACUUCCACAUGGAAGCAAUGCAUAUCUCUUCAACUCAUGUUUCAUUGACCAAAAGAAAUCAUGUGACCACACCCAAAUUCAGAGGUAGAAAACUUUCAAUUCUGCCACCUACCUGGGAGAACAGAAGAAGUGGACUAUUUGUGGGGGAUCCUAAUAAAUAUAAUGUUCUGUUCUGUUUCCUAGAUUUUAGUUCCUGAGAACAGUGAGUCUAUAUUUACUCACUGCACUAGAAAAAUAAACUUCCUGAAAUUGCCUUUUCUUUUUCUUUGUGAAUUCUGAAGAAGACAGAAGUAUUUAAAUGAAUGAGAUUUUAAGGGAAAAAGAGCCUACACACCACUCUAGAAUUGUGUUUUUCUUGCAGUAAAUGUUUCAUGAUUGUGAACUCCUUGGACAAAUGAAAAAGAAAUGAUUAAGCAACAGUGCUGAGUAGUGAAUGAUCCAGAGCCCAGAGUGUGAAUCGAGGGUUCAAAAUUGUCUGGAGCCAUGACUAUGUAAACAUCUAGGCUAGGAGCUCCUGGUCCUGUGGAAAUGGGAGUAACAUAAAUGGC
This is a long non-coding RNA of Heterocephalus glaber (naked mole-rat), 895 nucleotides long. The record is from Ensembl. Lineage: Eukaryota; Metazoa; Chordata; Mammalia; Rodentia; Bathyergidae.